RNAcentral lists this transfer RNA (75 nucleotides) under Azoarcus sp. RNAcentral describes it as "tRNA-Gln". It matches the Rfam family "tRNA". From Rfam's summary of the family: Transfer RNA (tRNA) molecules are approximately 80 nucleotides in length. Lineage: Bacteria; Pseudomonadati; Pseudomonadota; Betaproteobacteria; Rhodocyclales; Zoogloeaceae. The record is from RNAcentral.
CGGGGUGUAGCUCAAUGGCAGAGCAGCGGACUUUGACUCCGCAGGUUGCUGGUUCAAGUCCAGCCGCCCUUUCCA